Molecule: ribosomal RNA, 978 nt
Filed under: Taphrina gei-montani
Lineage: Eukaryota; Fungi; Ascomycota; Taphrinomycetes; Taphrinales; Taphrinaceae
Description: partial small subunit ribosomal RNA
Rfam family: Bacterial small subunit ribosomal RNA
Source: RNAcentral
AAGGGUCCGUAAAACGGUAAAUUAAGCGACUUUUAUAAUGAAAAAAGAAAUUAAAUCGAACUAAUUUACUAGAGUCUUAUAGAGGAACAGAGGAAUUGCAAGAGUAAGGAUAAAAUCUAUUGAUACUUGUAGGACCGCCAAUGGCGAAGGCAUCGUUCCAGGUAUAGACUGACGUUGAGGGACGUAGGCGUUGGGAGCGAAAAGGAUUAGAUACCCCUGUAGUCAACGCUGUAAACGAUGAGUGCUUAAGAUUAGUUAAAAAUAAUAAUUGUUUUGAAGGACAAUUCAAAAUUAGUCUCGAAAUGAAGAUGUUAAGCACUUCACCUGGGGAGUACUGUCGCAAGGCUGAAACCCAAAACAUUAGACGGUCACGGAAACCAGCAGUGAAGCAUGUUAUUUAAUACGAUGAUCCGCGUACAACCUUACCACUUCUUGAAUGUCCUUUUUUUUAAAGGCCUAUUUAAUUAAUAUUAAAAAUUUUUGCUGUCCUUAUGAUUAAUUCAUAAGUUAAAGCCGAAAUUAUUUUUUUGAUGAAAUUAAAUUUGGAUAAAUACAACAUUUAAUAAUAAUUAUUAUUAUUAUUAUUAAAUUAGUAUAAUCCUAUUUAUUAUUUUAACAACAUUAAUUAAAUUUGGAUAAAUACAACAGGCGUUGCAUGGCUGUCUUCAGUUCGUGUCGUGAGAUGUCAGGUUCAUUCCGGUAAACGAAUGAAACCCUUCUUUCUUAAUUUUUAAUUUAUAUUCUUUUCUUUGAAAUAAGUUAGAAUUAAAUUCAUUAAGAUGAUUCUUGGAUAACGAGGAUAUAAUGGGGGAUUAAGACAAGUCGUCAUGGCCUUUAUGAAGUGGGCUAUAGACGUGCCACAAGAGCCUUUACAAUAGGAUGCUAAGACGUGAGUCAGCGCUAAACCUUAAAAAAGGCUAUGUUCGGAUUGUAGUCUGCAACUCGACUACAUGAAGCAGGAAUUGCUAGUAAUCGUAA